CCUGCCGUCUACUCUUGGACAGCCUUCUGAAAGGAAGAUUAAUACAAGAUGGCAUCAUGAGUCCGCAUGUUCACAUGAUUAAAGGUAUUCCGGUAGACGAUGGGGAUGCGUUCCAUUAGAUAGUAGGCGGGGUAACGGCCCACCUAGUCUUCGAUGGAUAGGGGUUCUGAGAGGAAGGUCCCCCACAUUGGAACUGAGACACGGUCCAAACUCCUACGGGAGGCAGCAGUGAGGAAUAUUGGUCAAUGGGCGAGAGCCUGAACCAGCCAAGUAGCGUGAAGGAUGACUGCCCUAUGGGUUGUAAACUUCUUUUAUAAAGGAAUAAAGUCGGGUAUGGAUACCCGUUUGCAUGUACUUUAUGAAUAAGGAUCGGCUAACUCCGUGCCAGCAGCCGCGGUAAUACGGAGGAUCCGAGCGUUAUCCGGAUUUAUUGGGUUUAGAGGGAGCGUAGAUGGAUGUUUAAGUCAGUUGUGAAAGUUUGCGGCUCAACCGUAAAAUUGCAGUUGAUACUGGAUAUCUUGAGUGCAGUUGAGGCAGGCGGAAUUCGUGGUGUAGCGGUGAAAUGCUUAGAUAUCACGAAGAACUCCGAUUGCGAAGGCAGCCUGCUAAGCUGCAACUGACAUUGAGGCUCGAAAGUGUGGGUAUCAAACAGGAUUAGAUACCCUGGUAGUCCACACGGUAAACGAUGAAUACUCGCUGUUUGCGAUAUACUGCAAGCGGCCAAG
RNAcentral lists this ribosomal RNA (725 nucleotides) under uncultured bacterium. Its description in RNAcentral is "bacterial SSU rRNA". It matches the Rfam family "Bacterial small subunit ribosomal RNA", at positions 125 to 851 of the family's 1533-position model. The record is from RNAcentral.